GGAGGGUGCGAGCGUUGUUCGGAAUUAUUGGGCGUAAAGCGCGUGCAGGCGGCUCGCUAAGUCUGAUGUGAAAGCCCCGGGCUCAACCCGGGAAGUGCAUUGGAAACUGGCGAACUUGAGUACGGGAGAGGGAAGUGGAAUUCCGAGUGUAGGGGUGAAAUCCGUAGAUAUUCGGAGGAACACCAGUGGCGAAGGCGGCUUCCUGGACCGAUACUGACGCUGAGACGCGAAAGCGUGGGGAGCAAACAGGAUUAGAUACCCUGGUAGUCCACGCCGUAAACGAUGGGCACUAGGUGUCGCGGGUAUUGACCCCUGCGGUGCCGUAGCUAACGCAUUAAGUGCCCCGCCUGGGGAGUACGGCCGCAAGGCUAAA
RNAcentral lists this ribosomal RNA (373 nucleotides) under uncultured bacterium. RNAcentral's name for it is "bacterial SSU rRNA". It matches the Rfam family "Bacterial small subunit ribosomal RNA", at positions 527 to 898 of the family's 1533-position model. The record is from RNAcentral.